RNAcentral lists this ribosomal RNA (433 nucleotides) under uncultured bacterium. RNAcentral's name for it is "partial 16S ribosomal RNA". It matches the Rfam family "Bacterial small subunit ribosomal RNA", at positions 29 to 507 of the family's 1533-position model. The record is from RNAcentral.
AACGAACGCUGGCGGCAUGCCUAACACAUGCAAGUCGAACGAGACCUUCGGGUCUAGUGGCGCACGGGUGCGUAACGCGUGGGAACCUGCCCUUAGGUUCGGAAUAACUCCCCGAAAGGGGUGCUAAUACCGGAUAAUGUCUUCGGACCAAAGAUUUAUCGCCUUUGGAUGGGCCCGCGUUGGAUUAGCUAGUUGGUAGGGUAAAAGCCUACCAAGGCGACGAUCCAUAGCUGGUCUGAGAGGAUGAUCAGCCACACUGGGACUGAGACACGGCCCAGACUCCUACGGGAGGCAGCAGUGGGGAAUAGUGGAAAAUGGGCGAAAGCCUGAUGCAGCAAGGCCGCGUGAGUGAUGAAGGCCUUAGGGUUGUAAAGCUCUUUUACCCGGGAUGAUAAUGACAGUACCGGGAGAAUAAGCUCCGGCUAACUCCGUG